RNAcentral lists this ribosomal RNA (250 nucleotides) under uncultured bacterium. RNAcentral's name for it is "partial 16S ribosomal RNA". It matches the Rfam family "Bacterial small subunit ribosomal RNA", at positions 100 to 353 of the family's 1533-position model. The record is from RNAcentral.
UUCCUUUUUAGUAAUGCUUAGGAAUCUGCCUAUUAGUGGGGGACAACAUCUCGAAAGGGAUGCUAAUACCGCAUACGUCCUACGGGAGAAAGCAGGGGAUCUUCGGACCUUGCGCUAAUAGAUGAGCCUAAGUCGGAUUAGCUAGUUGGUGGGGUAAAGGCCUACCAAGGCGACGAUCUGUAGCGGGUCUGAGAGGAUGAUCCGCCACACUGGGACUGAGACACGGCCCAGACUCCUACGGGAGGCAGCA